AAAUUGAAGAGUUUGAUCAUGGCUCAGAUUGAACGCUGGCGGCAGGCCUAACACAUGCAAGUCGAACGGUAACAGGAAGCAGCUUGCUGCUUUGCUGACGAGUGGCGGACGGGUGAGUAAUGUCUGGGAAACUGCCUGAUGGAGGGGGAUAACUACUGGAAACGGUGGCUAAUACCGCAUAACGUCGCAAGACCAAAGAGGGGGACCUUCGGGCCUCUUGCCAUCAGAUGUGCCCAGAUGGGAUUAGCUUGUUGGUGAGGUAACGGCUCACCAAGGCGACGAUCCCUAGCUGGUCUGAGAGGAUGACCAGCCACACUGGAACUGAGACACGGUCCAGACUCCUACGGGAGGCAGCAGUGGGGAAUAUUGCACAAUGGGCGCAAGCCUGAUGCAGCCAUGCCGCGUGUAUGAAGAAGGCCUUCGGGUUGUAAAGUACUUUCAGCGGGGAGGAAGGUGUUGUGGUUAAUAACCGCAGCAAUUGACGUUACCCGCAGAAGAAGCACCGGCUAACUCCGUGCCAGCAGCCGCGGUAAUACGGAGGGUGCAAGCGUUAAUCGGAAUUACUGGGCGUAAAGCGCACGCAGGCGGUCUGUCAAGUCGGAUGUGAAAUCCCCGGGCUCAACCUGGGAACUGCAUUCGAAACUGGCAGGCUUGAGUCUUGUAGAGGGGGGUAGAAUUCCAGGUGUAGCGGUGAAAUGCGUAGAGAUCUGGAGGAAUACCGGUGGCGAAGGCGGCCCCCUGGACAAAGACUGACGCUCAGGUGCGAAAGCGUGGGGAGCAAACAGGAUUAGAUACCCUGGUAGUCCACGCCGUAAACGAUGUCUACUUGGAGGUUGUGCCCUUGAGGCGUGGCUUCCGGAGCUAACGCGUUAAGUAGACCGCCUGGGGAGUACGGCCGCAAGGUUAAAACUCAAAUGAAUUGACGGGGGCCCGCACAAGCGGUGGAGCAUGUGGUUUAAUUCGAUGCAACGCGAAGAACCUUACCUGGUCUUGACAUCCACGGAAGAAUUUCAGAGAUGGAUGUGCCUUCGGGAACCGUGAGACAGGUGCUGCAUGGCUGUCGUCAGCUCGUGUUGUGAAAUGUUGGGUUAAGUCCCGCAACGAGCGCAACCCUUAUCCUUUGUUGCCAGCGGUCCGGCCGGGAACUCAAAGGAGACUGCCAGUGAUAAACUGGAGGAAGGUGGGGAUGACGUCAAGUCAUCAUGGCCCUUACGACCAGGGCUACACACGUGCUACAAUGGCGCAUACAAAGAGAAGCGACCUCGCGAGAGCAAGCGGACCUCAUAAAGUGCGUCGUAGUCCGGAUUGGAGUCUGCAACUCGACUCCAUGAAGUCGGAAUCGCUAGUAAUCGUGGAUCAGAAUGCCACGGUGAAUACGUUCCCGGGCCUUGUACACACCGCCCGUCACACCAUGGGAGUGGGUUGCAAAAGAAGUAGGUAGCUUAACCUUCGGGAGGGCGCUUACCACUUUGUGAUUCAUGACUGGGGUGAAGUCGUAACAAGGUAACCGUAGGGGAACCUGCGGUUGGAUCACCUCCUUACCUUAAAG
This 1549-nucleotide ribosomal RNA is filed under the name Salmonella enterica subsp. enterica serovar Montevideo str. MB102109-0047. RNAcentral's name for it is "bacterial SSU rRNA". It matches the Rfam family "Bacterial small subunit ribosomal RNA". Lineage: Bacteria; Pseudomonadati; Pseudomonadota; Gammaproteobacteria; Enterobacterales; Enterobacteriaceae. The record is from RNAcentral.